RNAcentral lists this ribosomal RNA (263 nucleotides) under uncultured bacterium. RNAcentral describes it as "partial 16S ribosomal RNA". It matches the Rfam family "Bacterial small subunit ribosomal RNA", at positions 508 to 770 of the family's 1533-position model. The record is from RNAcentral.
CCAGCAGCCGCGGUAAUACGGAGGGUGCAAGCGUUAAUCGGAAUUACUGGGCGUAAAGCGAGCGCAGGCGGUUUCUUAAGUCUGAUGUGAAAGCCCCCGGCUCAACCGGGGAGGGUCAUUGGAAACUGGGAGACUUGAGUGCAGAAGAGGAGAGUGGAAUUCCAUGUGUAGCGGUGAAAUGCGUAGAGAUAUGGAGGAACACCAGUGGCGAAGGCGGCUUCCUGGUCUGCAACUGACACUGAGGCGCGAAAGCGUGGGGAGCA